UACGUAGGGGGCAAGCGUUGUCCGGAUUUAUUGGGCGUAAAGAGCGUGUAGGCGGCCAGGUAGGUCCGUUGUGAAAACUCGAGGCUCAACCUCGAGACGUCGGCGGAAACCCUCUGGCUAGAGUCCGGAAGAGGAGAGUGGAAUUCCUGGUGUAGCGGUGAAAUGCGCAGAUAUCGGGAGGAACACCUAUGGCGAAGGCAGCUCGCUGGGACGUUACUGACGCUGAGACGCGAAAGCGUGGGGAGCAAACAGG
This 253-nucleotide ribosomal RNA is filed under the name uncultured bacterium. RNAcentral describes it as "partial 16S ribosomal RNA". It matches the Rfam family "Bacterial small subunit ribosomal RNA", at positions 524 to 776 of the family's 1533-position model. The record is from RNAcentral.